CCCUUAGAUGUUCUGGGCAGCACGCGCGCUACAAUGGUCUUCGCAAACGGAUGCAUUCUCGAAGGAGAAUGCCAAUCUUGGAAUCUAUGCCUUGGUCGGGACAGUUGCUUGCAAUUUUUCGACUCGAACCAGGAAUUCCUUGUAAUCGUGAUUCAUCACAUCACGAUGAAUACGUCCCUGCCCUUUGUACACACCGCCCGUCGCUACUACCGAUGGAUGAUUUGGUGAGAUCGCCUAGACUGGCAGCUGGCUUCGGCCGUGCUGCCGGGAAGACGCUCAAACUUGGUCGUCUAGAGGAAGUAAAAGUCGUAACA
RNAcentral lists this ribosomal RNA (314 nucleotides) under uncultured eukaryote. RNAcentral's name for it is "partial 18S ribosomal RNA". It matches the Rfam family "Eukaryotic small subunit ribosomal RNA", at positions 1470 to 1796 of the family's 1831-position model. The record is from RNAcentral.